CAGUGUAACUUUUUCUUGCAAUAUUUACAGAUAUGUUUGUUGGUGGGGUCAAAGAGAAAGCAAUUUUUUAAUCUCUGAUCAGGUUUUAAAGAACUAAUGCCAAAUACCUUUCUAAUAUAAACUCAUUUUGUAGAAAUUCAAGAAAUUAGCUGAUACAUAUGGUAGAUGUGUGUAGUUUCCUUGUAGAAUAAAUAUAUUAAUGCUGGUUGAUAAUAGCUUUUACCCUGUUAUAAAUUUUCUCAUCAUGUAUUUUCCUUCUUAUUUAAGCAACUGAAAAAUUUCUGACAAAGUUCGAUGUUUCUUGGAUAAUGAUAGCAUAAUUAAUAGUUAUGUCUCUAAUCACAAAAGCAAAUUGAUAACUAUAGGACUUAUAUUGGAUAACCUGGAAACCCAAGACCUCAUCUGUGUUGUUUUUCUAACUUAAGCAAGUUGCCUUUGUAGUGUUUGCUAAAUUUGUUUAUUGAUAUUAGUCAAUCUUGUUUGUAGGGAUCAUGAUUUUAAAAAAACGCAAACACAUGUUCUAUGUAGGAAAAAUAACCUAAUCAAAAAUAGAUGAGUUUAAUCUGUCCAAUUUUGAUAAAGACGAGGUAUAAACUCAUCCAGGCUUGCUGAUACUUUGCAAAAUAGUGAGUACACAAAAAGGAGAAGGAAAGAACAUAGGCAGGCCUACCAAGAGUCAGCAUAAAAAAUUAUUUAUGUAUCUAAUUAGUGCAGGCAUGUUCAACCAGUAUAUAAUUAUAAAAAUGGGCAAUGAAAAUUGUGUUCUGUACAGUGGCAAUAGCACAUUUUAAAAAUGUCAUGGUUGUUACACAUAUUCUCUUUCACAGUUCUAGCAAUUUGAUCAAACUGGGUGUCUUACUGAAAGAGCACUGUUUCUGUGUAUAACUCAGGAGAUUUACUGUGCUUCAAAUCAGUCUUAACUUGGCAAUUUAGUAGAAUUAAAAUUCAGUUAGUCCUCAGUUAUGUCAUGGAGUGAAAGCCCCUGGCACUGGGAGCUUGCACAAGGUAAUGGUGGCAUAAGCAGCCCCUGUGUUGAGAAAGUCAGUGGGGUAGGCAGGCAGGCAACUGGCAAUUGAGAAAUACUCCCACAGUAUUUUUUGUGUCAAAUAUAGGUGAAUUUGUGCUGCAGAUAGAACUUUAACUUAAGAAUAUCUUCUCAGACAUUUUAACCUGACAAAUGGGUUUGGAACUUGCAAGACUUUUAUCUUCAGUGACCUGUAACUGAUGGACAGCAGAAGCUCAAAAAACAGCUUCUCCAAAUCAAAAAUAGAAAAAAACCUAAAAAUUAAUAAUUGCUGAAAGCAAUAAAGUACACAGGAAGAUGAGCAAA
Long non-coding RNA from Pseudopipra pipra, 1330 nucleotides. RefSeq lists it as uncharacterized. The transcript has 2 exons. NCBI's taxonomy places the organism in Eukaryota, Metazoa, Chordata, Aves, Passeriformes, Pipridae. The record is from RefSeq and is a predicted model, not a curated record.